Osmia bicornis bicornis is the source of this 511-nucleotide long non-coding RNA. RefSeq lists it as uncharacterized. Lineage: Eukaryota; Metazoa; Arthropoda; Insecta; Hymenoptera; Megachilidae. The record is from RefSeq and is a predicted model, not a curated record. The transcript is spliced from 3 exons.
UCCAGUUCGAUCAAACUCACUCAACCAGCAAACCACUAGUAAACCACUAGCGAUCCUGAAUUUAAUCCGACCAGUCGUUCACCAAAUAGUAAGAACAAAGAAGAGGAAAGGAAAGAAGGAAAAGGAGCGAGCUUCAGCCGACAGCAGCUAGCAAGCAGCAUCCACACACGAACGCCAACACAGAGCACAGGAAGGGGAAGAAAGGCAGAAAAAGGGAUCCGCCGACCGACAUCGAAUCGCCCGUGCAAAUGGAGAACAUGAAGAACGAUCUUCUGCCCGCCAUCGCGACCAUAGACGAAGACAAUGCCGGGGCCAGCUCCACGGCAGAAACGGACCCCGGGACCCCGCGCCCGCCUACCACGACAGACCCGAAUCAGGGAAGAAUCCUGCUGAGCCCCGAUAUAAGUACCAAUUGAGCAUCACAAACGUCGAUCACGCACAUACUCACAUUUAUCUGAUUUAUCAAACCCAUCAAAUCAUCAGUACAUCAGUCUCCCCAGCGCUGUCAAGG